GCUGCAGCAAGAGAUGGAGAAGAAGAAAAGCUAUUUGUCUUUAGGGUUUGCUCCUGCUGUCAGGGUUCCACCACUCAGAGGGGACCCAGCUCUCUGCGCACUGGUGUCACUUGAGGCUCACCAAGAGUCAGCAGAGUGUUUUGUAGGGUCACCACGUGUCCCAGUGCCAGACCACAUUUCAGAGCCAAGACAUGAAAGAAAUGGAUUCCUGGGCUGCAGAGUCAGGAACACAACAGUAACCAUCACUCGUGGGACCUGCCUGACUGGAGCUCAGCAGUGAACCCAAGCAAAGCUGGUGCAAGUCCCACCAUGCAGGAGGCUGAGCCCUCCAAGAGUGUGGCUGCUGCUUUCCAGGCUGAGCAGAUUCUCCAGUUUCCUGCACUUUCAGGUUUGGAUGAUCUCUUCAAGAGGUAGGACUAAAUAUACAAAAAGUUUUUUUUGCAGAAUUUGGUGUAAACCCUCCAGGUUUUUUUUCCAAACUUCUCUUUUAGGCUUAAAGCUACUAUAAAAUUGCUCUUUGCAUGGUUAGAGAGGCAAAUGGCCCAUUGUUAAGCAGUGUAAUGCAUUUUGGAAGGUGGAUACAGGGAAAGGUAAAAAUUUAUCUUGUGUGGAAGCUGUACAUUCUGGGGAGAAAGAGUUUUAAAUAAAAGCCAGCAUGAUUAGAGGAAAAGGGUAGAUAUAAUUGAUUGAAAGUCUUACAGGAGUAGUUUUCACACUGAUUAUCUGAUUGUCUUUUCAGUACAUACAUCUUUCUCUCUAGAAGUGGUGCCAGUUUGAGUCACUGCUUCCUGUGUUUUGUGGCUGCACAGGUGAGCUGGGCUGGGAGAAAGCCCCAGAGAAUUUCCUCACAUGCACAGGAAGGAUUACAGAGCCUGUGUUAGAUGCAUGAUGAAUCCUUGCAAGCUUCCUCAGCCAAAUUGUGCCAGCACUGGUGUCUCAGCUGUCACUGUGGGGUUUUAUCAUCUUUUUUACUCAGCCAGUUAGAGAAGUUGUCAACAAAAGUAUCAGUGUAUUAGAAAUAGUUUAAGAAAUUAUAAAAAUGCUCACCUCCGGUAUUUCUGUGCCCAUUUGUUGUUGCUGCUGGUAUUUACAUGAGAAUCAACACAAAUACCUUUAUUUAAUUGAGUACAGUAUAAUUUGCUUUUUACUUCCUUCUUCUCCAAAGAUAAGCACGUCUUACUCCUAUUUUAUUGAUUGAAAGUUGAAAUUUCCAUAACCACGCAGAGAGUCUUGCUGACAGAGCAGUGUAAGCAAAUUGUUUCAGAGGUGCUCCCUUCCCAGAGGAUGGGAUCGAAGAGGAUUUAUGGAAGAGCCUCACACAGAAAGGAGUUUUGCUCUUUCCCACAUGUAGACAGUGCUUACCAUGCCCAGUUCAGAUUGCUGAGUGAGAUCAUGGCCAUUGCCAACAAGGCAGGUGCAGCAUUUCAUGCACAAAUUUUUUGCCCAAGGUUACAGAAGCCCCUGCAGUCUGUAUUUGCUUACAAACAUGAGGGAUGAUCCAUGCACGUUCUCUGCAUUUGCAUUGGAUUAGCUGCAAUUUGCAGCACAAGUUCUUUUGGGUGAUGACAGUGAAAGCAUUAAACACCAGGGCCUGCUGGAGCUGUGCAAAACCCAACAGAGACACCCCUGUAGACUCUUGAUUUACUUAUUUGCACUGUAAGAAUCAGCUUGGGUGUCCACCUGUGGAAAUGCAGAGUGAAAUUCUGCUCAGAAAAGCUGUUUCAUCUGGUGGUAUAGCAGGGCCAGGCAUCCACUGGUGUCAGAAUGAAAAUGUGGCACAUUGUGUUUAGCCAGACCUGAUGAGAUGAAUUUUGAAAGUUGCUCAAGCUUGGAAAGCUUUACCUGAUUUGGGAGGAGAAUGAGCUGCAGAAAUGUUCAGCAGCCCCUGCAGAUCUCACUCGUGUUGAGCAACACAGGAUUAACAAAUCUUGGGCCUGGGAGGGGGAAAUCAUUGAGGGAGAAUAUGCAAAGCCUCUUGUUUGUAUCUGGGCAGUGGACAGCUCCAGUAAACCACUGAGGAGCUGGCAAGAGAAUGAAAAUCUGCAGUUAUUUCCUUUUCCAGCAGGUUUGUUUAACCCCUGACAGAAUCACUCCAGUAAAGGGGAAGGAUCUGGCCAAAGCUUCAGUCUUUGAAUUUUAAUCACUCUUUGAGCAGUUGGCUCAAAGCUGUAUUUCAGUUGACAAUAAAUCAUUAUUUAGACCUGUUUUUACCUUUCCACCUGAAAUUAGGACACUCAGGUUAACCCUACUGGUGACUGGGAGAGCCAUGGUGAGGGCACACGUGAGCAGAAUCUGAAUUCCAGUUUUCCCUCCUGUGUGCAGCACUUCCAGAGCUCCAGCACUUGCAAGCAGUUGUAUUAACACAUCUGGAACUGCUCCUGUGGGGAUCCAUCCUUUUGGGGAGCCCUCUGCAGCUCGGGGGCUCAGCCAGCCACGAAACCAAGUGAAAGAGCAAAUUCCUGGCAGGAGGGCACUGCCCCUCGUGCUGCUUUGCUGUGACAAACAGAGGAAGUGGUUACAAACCUCUGUCAAAUCUUCCCAUUUCACUCAGUUCCAGUAAUUAUUGGCAGGUCUAAUUGCCACCAGAUGGCUGUAUUUUAGUGUAGGACAGCAGCAAAGACCCCAAAAGCUUCUGUGAAUGUACAUGUUUUACCUGGAACCUUGGGAAGGCAGAGAACAGCACUGAUUGAAAUCUCACAGAGAUCACAGAAUCAAUUAGGCUGGAAAAGACCUCUGGGAUCAUUGAGUCCAACCUGUGACCCAACACCACCAUCUCAACCAGACCAAAUAAUGAUUUCUGAAACCAGGGGGAGUUGUGCUGACAGAUAGCAGAUAUUUCCGCAUUCUAAAACCAGACACAAAUAAAAUUGGCAGCACUCAACUAAAUGGGAGCAGGAAGGAAAAUGUGUUAGGGAAAGGAAAACAAAUGCUCCAUUUACCUAACAAUAAAACUUUAGAUAUAAAAAAAGAAGCAACCUGACAGUGUGAAAUACCUUUCAGUACUGCUUGCUCAGGGCAGCAUAAUAAUGCCUGACUGAGUAAUCUCAGCUGGGAGAUGUGAUGUGGUGGGAGAUGCAGAGGAUGUGUUUAAUCACCCUUUUUUUGCUAAGUGAGUCAGAUAAAAGACUAUGUGAGAACCACAGUCAGAGGAAGGAAGUUAUUGUCAGUCCUGGGCACUGAAACUGAAUGAGUUUACAUUUUUAAAGGUUUCAUACAUUACAGCCUUCUGGAAGAUUCAUUGAUUCAGGGAUCCUAAAACAACAGACAAACAGCCCAGUGUUAAAGGACAGUGUUGGCAAGGGAUGUACAGUCAGACUGCAGCUGUGGGAAUGUGGCCACAAGAUAUUGAUUUUGUAAAGUCCUGAAAUUAUUUGGGCCCUCUACCAUCUCCAUUACUGCUUUUAAACAGUCUGAAAAUGCCUGUGUUUGGAAGAAGCAAUUCUGUGCCAAAUUUCCCUGGCAAAUCCCAUCGCUCACUCUAAGAGAGGAGAAGUUGCUGAACUCACACAUGCAGGGAAAGGCAGUGAAUUACAGAGGUUUGCAGCCUCAUGUGGAGAGAAAAUUGCAGUAUUCAUAAAGGAGUAGCUGGAGGAAGUGUGUACAGAUGCUUCAGAGACCUCUUGUGCAAACAGACACCACCUUAACUUGCAGAUUUAGAAGCAGAAUUAACUUUGUUCUUCAGCACUGCUUAACUGCUUCACUGCCAUCACAGAUGGUACUGGAACACCUUCUGGGCUGCCUUUUUGUAGAAUUGAGUCGAAUAUUUUCCCCAAACGAAUCUCCUCCAGCAGCUCUCAUUGGAUUUGGUGCCUGGCCCCUGGUAACUUCUUCUUUAACUUCCAGUCUCUGACAAUUUACUGUUUUCUUAAUAUUUCACCUUGGACUUGUAGGGUAGUACCUGACAGACCUGAGUGUGUGCACUUGAUUUUACACCUUUGUUUUUCAAUUUAGACACAGCUGACUCUGGAAGGGAUUUAUUACAGCAUGAAAUACCUGAUUCAGCAGGGGUAACAUCACAUGGUGCCAUCCUCACUAGCAGAAGUUCCCUGAAUUCAUUUUGAAGUUUAUAAAAGACAUCAAGUAUCAGAAUGGUCACUUUUACAUACCAUGAAACAGUCAGGAUUACUCAGGGAGCUUGCAACAUGUUUGCUCUUUAUUUAGUUCAUGCAGAAUUCAUUACAUUUCAGAAGGGAAAUUUAUUUUGUACUAGAUAAAUAUACUUGACUCUAUAGAUUUUUAAAUUUAUAGUCUAUUUUAAAUCUAUAGACUCUAUUUUUUUAAAGUUCCUUUCUGUGUUAGGGAUGUUCACAUACCUACCACAGCCUUGGCAAACUAGCUUAGUCUUAUUUCCCUGUCACCCAG
Molecule: long non-coding RNA, 4362 nt
Organism: Zonotrichia albicollis (white-throated sparrow)
Lineage: Eukaryota; Metazoa; Chordata; Aves; Passeriformes; Passerellidae
Source: RefSeq, a predicted model, not a curated record